CCUUUUCUGUUCUCUCCCUCCAUCUUUUUCUGGUUUUUUUACCUUCUCCCCUGUCUUGGGCUUUUGGUGGAGCUGGUCUUCUUUCGGUUUGAGCAUGUUUGGCUGUGUCUGUGGCUCUCUUUGAUAGUUGGGUGCUUCUCCCUCUGUGGUGUCUGCUUGUGCCUUAUACUAUGUGCUGAGAUUAAAUGUCUGAUGCCAAUUUUGUGUCCUUGGUUCUCCACCAAACAACCCCUUCAACCAGAUUUAUUUCUUCCUCAACUUCUCAUCCUCUUUUUGCCUUAUCCUCUUUCUGGAUCUGGAAUCUCCUUUGGGAUACAACAACCAUAUCUAUAAGCGCUUUGUCGCUCAUUUCUCGGAUUGUAUUUAGAGCUUUUGCUACGGUUCUUGCUCUGGUGCUUGCACCAAUAUUCUCCAUUCUCUUGGUUUCGGUGUUUUGAUAUAUACCUUGGUGUUGUGAUUGGUUGUUGUUUUCUCUCAGGUGCAUUGGCAGAUUUAGGUGUGAUGGAGAAGGUGACUUUUGGAGGAAGGUUCGAGGGCUGAUGUGUUUCCAAUUUUUGGGGAAUAUCUAUUUUUGGUGGAAGAUCAGUGGGUCUCUAUGUGCAGCAAUGCUGGCCUGUGUGGUGGUGGUGUAUCCCGUCCUUGUUUUAGUUUAAUCUUCUCUAUUUGUGGCAUUUCGAUCCUUUAACUGGCCUUUUUGGCCUUUGUAUUCUCUAUUUGUUUCUUCCCCAUU
Molecule: long non-coding RNA, 730 nt
Filed under: Prunus persica (peach)
Lineage: Eukaryota; Viridiplantae; Streptophyta; Magnoliopsida; Rosales; Rosaceae
Description: long non-coding RNA (PPER_LNC002948)
Source: RNAcentral